GAGUGAACGCUGGCGGUAGGCCUAACCCAUGCACGUCGAACGGCAGCCCAGUAAGAGCUUGCUCUUACGGGUGGCGAGUGGCGGACGGGUGAGGAAUACAUCGGAAUCUACUUUUUCGUGGGGGAUAACGUAGGGAAACUUACGCUAAUACCGCAUACGACCUACGGGUGAAAGCAGGGGAUCUUCGGACCUUGCGCGAUUGAAUGAGCCGAUGUCGGAUUAGCUAGUUGGCGGGGUAAAGGCCCACCAAGGCGACGAUCCGUAGCUGGUCUGAGAGGAUGAUCAGCCACACUGGAACUGAGACACGGUCCAGACUCCUACGGGAGGCAGCAGUGGGGAAUAUUGGACAAUGGGCGCAAGCCUGAUCCAGCCAUACCGCGUGGGUGAAGAAGGCCUUCGGGUUGUAAAGCCCUUUUGUUGGGAAAGAAAAGCAGCAGGUUAAUACCCCGCUGUUCUGACGGUACCCAAAGAAUAAGCACCGGCUAACUUCGUG
RNAcentral lists this ribosomal RNA (493 nucleotides) under uncultured bacterium. RNAcentral's name for it is "partial 16S ribosomal RNA". It matches the Rfam family "Bacterial small subunit ribosomal RNA", at positions 27 to 507 of the family's 1533-position model. The record is from RNAcentral.